GACGAACGCUGGCGGCGUGCCUAAUACAUGCAAGUAGAACGCUGAAGGAGGAGCUUGCUUCUCUGGAUGAGUUGCGAACGGGUGAGUAACGCGUAGGUAACCUGCCUGGUAGCGGGGGAUAACUAUUGGAAACGAUAGCUAAUACCGCAUAAUAGCAGUUAUUGCAUGAUAACUGUUUGAAAGGUGCAAUUGCACCACUACCAGAUGGACCUGCGUUGUAUUAGCUAGUUGGUGGGGUAACGGCUCACCAAGGCGACGAUACAUAGCCGACCUGAGAGGGUGAUCGGCCACACUGGGACGGAGACACGGCCCAGACUCCUACGGGAGGCAGCAGUAGGGAAUCUUCGGCAAUGGACGGAAGUCUGACCGAGCAACGCCGCGUGAGUGAAGAAGGUUUUCGGAUCGUAAAGCUCUGUUGUAAGAGAAGAACGAGUGUGAGAGUGGAAAGUUCACACUGUGACGGUAUCUUACCAGAAAGGGACGGCUAACUACGUG
RNAcentral lists this ribosomal RNA (495 nucleotides) under uncultured bacterium. Its description in RNAcentral is "partial 16S ribosomal RNA". It matches the Rfam family "Bacterial small subunit ribosomal RNA", at positions 28 to 507 of the family's 1533-position model. The record is from RNAcentral.